Long non-coding RNA from Oncorhynchus keta (chum salmon), 510 nucleotides. RefSeq lists it as uncharacterized. The transcript has 4 exons. Lineage: Eukaryota; Metazoa; Chordata; Actinopteri; Salmoniformes; Salmonidae. The record is from RefSeq and is a predicted model, not a curated record.
GGUUCAGUGGGACAACAGGGGGGUUUAUGGGACAGUGGUUCAGUGGGACAACAGGGGGGUUUAUGGGACAGUGGUAUAGAGGUUCAGUGGGACAACAGGGGGGUUUAUGGGACAGUGGUUCAGUGGGACAACAGGGGGGUUUAUGGGACAGUGGUAUAGAGGUUCAGUGGGACAACAGGGGGGUUUAUGGGACAGUGGUAUAGAGGUUCAGUGGGACAACAGGGGGGUUUAUGGGACAGUGGUUCAGUGGGACAACAGGGGGGUUUAUGGGACAGUGGUAUAGAGGUUCAGUGGGACAACAGGGGGGUUUAUGGGACAGUGGUAUAGAGGUUCAGUGGGACAACAGGGGGGUUUAUGGGACAGUGGUAUAGAGGUUCAGUGGGACAACAGGGGGGUUUAUGGGACAGUGGUAUAGAGGUUCAGUGGGACAACAGGGGGGUUUAUGGGACAGUGGUAUAGAGGUUCAGUGGGACAACAGGGGGGUUUAUGGGACAGUGGUUCAGUGGGACA